RNAcentral lists this ribosomal RNA (923 nucleotides) under uncultured bacterium. Its description in RNAcentral is "bacterial SSU rRNA". It matches the Rfam family "Bacterial small subunit ribosomal RNA", at positions 9 to 930 of the family's 1533-position model. The record is from RNAcentral.
GAGUUUGAUCCUGGCUCAGAUUGAACGCUGGCGGUAUGCUUAACACAUGCAAGUCGAACGGUAACAGGCCUUCGGGCGCUGACGAGUGGCGGACGGGUGAGUAACGCGUAGGAAUCUGCCUCAUAGUGGGGGACAACGUGGGGAAACUCACGCUAAUACCGCAUACGCCCUACGGGGGAAAGGAGGGGAUCUUCGGACCUUUCGCUAUGAGAUGAGCCUGCGUUAGAUUAGCUAGUUGGUAGGGUAAAGGCCUACCAAGGCGACGAUCUAUAGCUGGUCUGAGAGGACGAUCAGCCACACUGGGAUUGAGACACGGCCCAGACUCCUACGGGAGGCAGCAGUGGGGAAUAUUGGACAAUGGGCGAAAGCCUGAUCCAGCAAUACCGCGUGUGUGAAGAAGGCCUUAGGGUUGUAAAGCACUUUCAAUUGGAAGGAAAAACUCAUGGCCAAUACCCAUGAGCUUGACAUUACCUUUAGAAGAAGCACCGGCUAACUCCGUGCCAGCAGCCGCGGUAAUACGGAGGGUGCGAGCGUUAAUCGGAAUUACUGGGCGUAAAGCGUGCGUAGGCGGCUCGUUAAGUCAGAUGUGAAAGCCCUGGGCUCAACCUGGGAACGGCAUUUGAAACUGGCGAGCUAGAGUUUGGGAGAGGAGAGUGGAAUUUCAGGUGUAGCGGUGAAAUGCGUAGAGAUCUGAAGGAACACCAGUGGCGAAGGCGACUCUCUGGCCUAAAACUGACGCUGAGGUACGAAAGCGUGGGUAGCAAACAGGAUUAGAUACCCUGGUAAUCCACGCCGUAAACGAUGUCAACUAGCCGUUGGCUCUCUUAGAGAGUUAGUGGCGCAGCUAACGCAUUAAGUUGACCGCCUGGGGAGUACGGCCGCAAGGUUAAAACUCAAAUGAAUUGACGGGGGCCCGCACAAGC